GUAGGUGAACCUGCGGAAGGAUCAUUAAAGAGACGUUGCCCUUCGGGGUAUACCUCCCACCCUUUGUUUAUACAUACCAUUGUUGCUUUGGCAGGCCCGGCUUCGGCCCACCGGCUCCGGCUGGUCCGCGUCUGCCAGAGGAAACCCAAACUCUGUUUGUUAAUAUUGUCUGAGUACUAUAUAAUAGUUAAAACUUUCAACAACGGAUCUCUUGGUUCUG
RNAcentral lists this unclassified non-coding RNA (220 nucleotides) under rhizosphere metagenome. RNAcentral's name for it is "partial ribosomal RNA internal transcribed spacer region". The record is from RNAcentral.